AUGCCAAAACCCUCUGAUGUGAUGAUAACCACGCCAGUAUACCAGCAACAGCAGUAUGAAAUCUCCAAGUUCCUGAAGACCAAGCCACUGGCUCUGGGGAUUUUGGUAGUACUGAUAGCCUUAUUGGCACUCGGUUUGACGCUCCAUAAUGAGAGUUUUCAUCUUCUCUGGUCACCAAUCAUUUCCACUAUAAUUGGAGCCAUAACAGUCUUGGCUGCAUACACACGUAAACCACGUCUGGUCAAUAUCUCACAAAAGCUCAGCUAUGUACAUUUUGCAAUAGCUGCUUUCUCCCUCCAAACUCACAUUCUUUUUGUUUUGAUUUUUCCGAAUGUGACCUCCUAUGUCCUUAUCGCCUGUGAUAUACUGAUCUUCAGCUUCUCUCUUGCUAUUGCCGUAACCUCCUGUUCCUGUUGCUGCAAUCCAAAGUCAACCCCUGUCAUGGUCAGUUAUGUGACCACAGAUGUGCCUGUCAACCGCAUCAUGCUAAUGGGUCAGCCGGACUCUUCUGCAGUGGUACAGUCCGUUAGUUCAGUCAUGUACAUGCUGCCAGCAGCACAUGGCUUAGUAACACCUGCUCCUCUGCCAAAUUGUGGUCUUUUCCCAAAUGCAUCUCCACCAAUCUACAGUCCAGUGCCAACUACACCUCCACCCAGCUACGAUAAACUCUCAGAUGCACCACCACCAAACUAUGGUCCAGUUGCAAGAACACCUCCACCAGCAUAUGAGAAUGAAGAUUUACAGGCCAGAAGAUGAACUAGAUCUCGGACACAAAUGGGGAUAUUUGAUGUUUACACAAUGGAUUAUAGCGAAUGGGAAUAUAUAUAUAUAUAUAUAUAUAUAUAUAUAUAUAUAUUACAAUUAAAUAAAUUAUUUUUGAAAAUCA
Cyprinus carpio (common carp) is the source of this 886-nucleotide long non-coding RNA. The record is from Ensembl. NCBI's taxonomy places the organism in Eukaryota, Metazoa, Chordata, Actinopteri, Cypriniformes, Cyprinidae.